Molecule: unclassified non-coding RNA, 1109 nt
Filed under: Hevea brasiliensis (rubber tree)
Lineage: Eukaryota; Viridiplantae; Streptophyta; Magnoliopsida; Malpighiales; Euphorbiaceae
Source: RNAcentral
AUAAGAUUGCCUUUAUAAGGCACUAUUUUAAUUGAAAUUGACUGGAUAUUUAGGAUUUUUGUCUGGAGAAAAGAGUCCCCAGUGUUUCUCUAACUCGGGGUUUUUGUUACUUUCAUCAAACAUGGAGAAAAUGUAAGUUUCUAUGGGUUUUCCUGGCUUCUUUGGAGUCCCUUUUUUCACAUGUUGAAUCAAGUUGUUAUUGUAAGUUCUUGCAUUUUCAACUGAUGUUCCAAAAUCUCCAGCAGUAGGCCAUCCGCUUUCCGAUGCCACAAUUUCCAGAGAACCUCCACGAGCCUUCUCCAAGGCGGCAUAAACAGUAUCAAGCAUGGCAUCAAAAAGGUUUUGGUAAUUACGUCCAACAUCUGGAUCAGAGACUACUGGUGAUGAAGCUGUGAAAAGAGAAUAAUCAAGAGGAAUUUGUCCCCGAGCAUCUCUAUAACUGAAGUAUGGAUACAAGUUGAGGAGCAAUGGGGAUUGGUUGUUCACUAGAAAUUCGAUCACAGGAUCAAUAAUUGGUCGAUAUUCUUGCUUGAAAGAGCCUUUAGAAGGAGGGAAGGCGUCUGCAGCAAGGCCUGUAGUAUCAAUAGCAGUGGAAACUUUAAUAUUUCCAAGACCAGCAGAAUUGAGUGCAUUUUUAAUAUUUCUCAUGGCAGGGACCAGAAAAGGUGCUUCUGGACUUGAGGGAUGAAUCUCAUUUCCAACUGCAAUGUAGCGAAAUUUGACAUUUCCAUGGCUUUUUAUGUUAUUUUGCACCCAAGUAUUUGCUUCAGCUUGAUUGGAAGAAAUCCUCUGAAGGUUAUCAUUUGGAAGGCCAAGUAUGAGCUCUAUAUUAGAGCCUCCAAGGGCUUGGAGAGCAUUUUGAUUUGGGUCGUAGAGUCUCAUUCUGCGGAUGCCAUUCUGGUUGUAGAGACCUACAACUUCUGCUGGUGGUGGCAGGUUACCAAGCAUUCCAUAGCAAACACCAAUUUGAGCACCUGUUGUGUCUAGGCUAGCCAGAAGCAACCCAAGGAAUAGAAUUAUUGAAAGUGUAGAAGGGCUUUUGCCAAGUAAAGAGGACCUUGCCAUUUUUAUUAAACUUAGGGGAACUUUGAGGGGAUUGUGAAUGUUUG